RNAcentral lists this ribosomal RNA (250 nucleotides) under uncultured bacterium. Its description in RNAcentral is "partial 16S ribosomal RNA". It matches the Rfam family "Bacterial small subunit ribosomal RNA", at positions 524 to 773 of the family's 1533-position model. The record is from RNAcentral.
UACGGAGGAUGCGAGCGUUAUCCGGAUUUAUUGGGUUUAAAGGGUGCGUAGGUGGUCUGAUAAGUCAGCGGUGAAAGUUUGUCGCUCAACGAUAAAAUUGCCGUUGAAACUGUUGGACUUGAGUGUAAUUGAAGUAUGCGGAAUGCGUGGUGUAGCGGUGAAAUGCAUAGAUAUCACGCAGAACUCCGAUUGCGAAGGCAGCAUACUAAGCUACAACUGACACUGAAGCACGAAAGCGUGGGUAUCAAAC